AUGCAUGUGUCAGUACACGCCGCACUAAGGCAAAACCGCGAAUGGCUCAUUAAAUCAGUUAUGAUUCAUUUGAUCUAAAACCCUUUUACUUGGAUAACCCUGGUAAUUCUAGAGCUAAUACAUGAUACCAAUACUCUGACUGGAAGGGAAGAGUGCUUUUAUUAGUUGAAAACCAGUCGGGCCUCGGUCCGUCAAACACAAAGUGUGGUGAUUCUGAAUAACUUUGAGCCGAGAGCACGGUCUCCGCACCGGCUCCUUAUCUUUCGAGUUUCUGCCUUAUCAUGCUGUGGACUGUAGGCCAUGCGCCUACAGUGGCUGUAACGGGUAACGGAGAAUCAGGGUUCGAUUCCGGAGAGGGAGCCUGAGAAACGGCUACCACA
RNAcentral lists this ribosomal RNA (380 nucleotides) under Alpheidae sp. USNM IZ 1450097. RNAcentral's name for it is "SSU rRNA". It matches the Rfam family "Eukaryotic small subunit ribosomal RNA", at positions 51 to 414 of the family's 1831-position model. The record is from RNAcentral. Lineage: Eukaryota; Metazoa; Arthropoda; Malacostraca; Decapoda; Alpheidae.